UUGAAACAAUGCAUAAUUACUUAAAAUAUAUAUAUUUUUAAUAGUACAAUUAAACCGUGUUAAAAAUUUGUGUAUCGAACUUGAUACUGCAGGUGCUCCAGUCCUGAAUUGUCAUGUGACAUUUUAGUAAUUUUAGUAAUUUAAUCAACAGUAUUCUUGCCACAAUACAACCACACACUAUUUUAGUAAUUU
Long non-coding RNA from Austrofundulus limnaeus, 192 nucleotides. RefSeq lists it as uncharacterized. The record is from RefSeq and is a predicted model, not a curated record. Lineage: Eukaryota; Metazoa; Chordata; Actinopteri; Cyprinodontiformes; Rivulidae. The transcript is spliced from 3 exons.